UAAACAGUUUAGACGACUUGUUUAGUGUUGAGAUAAAAAGUGAUUAGAAUAUUUGUAUAACAAGAAUAGUUAAACUCACAUCAAUAAAACUUGUGCAAUGUUCUUAAAUAUUAGUAAAACCUCUUCAAAGUUCUUAAGAGAGAACUCAAUAUAACUUUUUUCCUACUUUUUGUUUCUUAGAAAAUCUUUUUAAAUCUCUUAUAUAUCAC
This 209-nucleotide long non-coding RNA is filed under the name Vigna radiata. Its description in RNAcentral is "long non-coding RNA (VRAD_LNC009671)". The record is from RNAcentral. Lineage: Eukaryota; Viridiplantae; Streptophyta; Magnoliopsida; Fabales; Fabaceae.